GUUGACCUCGGAUCAGGUAGGGAUACCCGCUGAACUUAAGCAUAUCAAUAAGCGGAGGAAAAGAAACCAACAGGGAUUGCCCUAGUAACGGCGAGUGAAGCGGCAACAGCUCAAAUUUGAAAUCUGGCGCAAGCCCGAGUUGUAAUUUGUAGAGGAUGCUUCUGGCCAGCGGCCGUUCUAAGUUCCUUGGAACAGGACGUCAUAGAGGGUGAGAAUCCCGUAUGUGACCGGCGCGCAGCCUUUACGUAGCUCCUUCGACGAGUCGAGUUGUUUGGGAAUGCAGCUCUAAAUGGGAGGUAAAUUUCUUCUAAAGCUAAAUACCGGCCAGAGACCGAUAGCGCACAAGUAGAGUGAUCGAAAGAUGAAAAGCACUUUGGAAAGAGAGUUAAAAAGCACGUGAAAUUGUUGAAAGGGAAGCGCUUGCAACCAGACUUCGUAGCGAUGUUCCGCUGGUCUUCUGACCGGUCUACUCAUCGUCGCGAGGCCAACAUCGUCUGGGCCCGCUGGAUAAGACCUAAGGAAUGUGGCUUCUCUUCGGGGAAGUGUUAUAGCCUGUGGUGAUGCAGCGUGGCUCGGGCGAGGUCCGCGCUUCGGCAAGGAUGUUGGCGUAAUGGUUGUCAGCGGCCCGUCUUGAAACACGGACCAAGGAGUCUAACAUCUAUGCGAGUGUUCGGGUGUCAAACCCCUACGCGUAAUGAAAGUGAACGGAGGUGGGAAGCGCAAGCUGCACCAUCGACCGAUCCUGAUGUCCUCGGAUGGAUUUGAGUAAGAGCAUAGCUGUUGGGACCCGAAAGAUGGUGAACUAUGCCUGAAUAGGGUGAAGCCAGAGGAAACUCUGGUGGAGGCUCGCAGCGGUUCUGACGUGCAAAUCGAUCGUCAAAUUUGGGUAUAGGGGCGAAAGACUAAUCGAACCAUCUAGUAGCUGGUUCCUGCC
RNAcentral lists this ribosomal RNA (934 nucleotides) under Mycosphaerella buckinghamiae. Its description in RNAcentral is "eukaryotic LSU rRNA". It matches the Rfam family "Eukaryotic large subunit ribosomal RNA", at positions 1 to 962 of the family's 3401-position model. Lineage: Eukaryota; Fungi; Ascomycota; Dothideomycetes; Mycosphaerellales; Mycosphaerellaceae. The record is from RNAcentral.